This 202-nucleotide unclassified non-coding RNA is filed under the name Glomeromycetes sp. RNAcentral describes it as "partial contains 5.8S ribosomal RNA and internal transcribed spacer 2". The stretch from base 1 to 71 matches the Rfam family "5.8S ribosomal RNA", at positions 84 to 154 of the family's 154-position model. Lineage: Eukaryota; Fungi; Glomeromycota; Glomeromycetes. The record is from RNAcentral.
GUGAAUCAUCAAAUUUUUGAACGCAAAUUGCACUCCCUGGUAUUCCGGGGAGUAUGCCUGUUUGAGGGUCACCAAAUCAACAUCGAUUAACGUUGCUUUUUUUUUUUUAAAUGUGAUUUAAUACGGGUUUUGACUUUUUUUUUUUUUUUUUUUUUUAGUAAAUUGUUUAAAAUUUUUUUUUUUUUUUUUUCAUCGUGCUUUU